Molecule: long non-coding RNA, 1249 nt
Organism: Clupea harengus (Atlantic herring)
Lineage: Eukaryota; Metazoa; Chordata; Actinopteri; Clupeiformes; Clupeidae
Source: Ensembl
GAGAGAAUACAGAGGGUUGUUCGCCUGGUGAUGAAUAUUGUAAUUUCUCAGGACAAGCACGAGCGACGAGAGUGAGUGAGUGAGCGAGAGAGCUCUUUUGCGCCGCUCUCCUUUCCAGAUGGAAACUGUGUUUCUCUGCGAUGCAGACAGGACGGGGCUAGAGCGCUCUCGCACUAACAAGAUUCACUUUAAGACGCAGCUGAAGGAAGCAGGAAGACGGCGCGUCAUAAUCAUUGUGAUGUAACAUUUCCACCUACCAAUAAGAACAGUCCGCUGGAUUUAGAGGAAUACAAAACGCCUAACUUCACCGACGUGGAGAAAGACUCGCCGGUCAAAAAAGACUGCUUUCACCAUCCACUUUAAACAACAAACGAAUUUGCGGAACCUCACGUAAGGAAGCGCCUGAGGCAGAGGAGGCCCUUACUGAAGGACUACAGACAGUCAUUUGAAACAGCAGAAAACAAAGCUGCCUCAUUUUUCUUUGGUAAUUGCUGAUCGGAACAAAAGCUUUGCGUGUCUUCAAACUGUUUGCAAAGGAAAUAAUGACGGCGGAGGAAGGAAGGACUUCACGGCAAAUCAUGACAAAUCACGCCCAAGGUUCAUCCCCCACAGUUCAUGACCUGGAGAUCCCGGGCUUCACCUGGAGCGGGAGAGAAAGCCUAGAGGCUCGGAUGAAAGAAGAAGUCUUCGAAGGAGUUCAGGUUACACAGCGUUAUUAUGACAAGAAGCUACUGUUUCUCCCCCUCCGCUCCUUCCCCUUUUGUCUUGCUUUUUGACACCUUCUUUGAGCGCGAGAGGGACCGGAUAUGUUUCAUCACAAUGGCCGCCGCGCUGAAAGCGCAUAUUAUCUUUAUUCGGAAUCUUGCGUCGUGUUACUGUACGGUCCUUGGGUCCCGGCGAUGGUUGCGAGGCACCCCCCCCCCCCACCACCACCACCACCACCUCCCAUCAUGCCACCCUCCCCUGGUUCGCAGUGACACCCUGCUCACUCUCUCACUUUCUCAUCGUUUCCGCAAUGAUUAAGCGAACAAUGUCCCACGUCAUUGUUCGUUUGGGCCCUCUGUCAUUCUGCAGCUUUAUCUCCUUUGAUACUUCUGGCAGCACACAAAGACACCAUAGUGGGCCGCCUCGUCGUCCGCUAAACUUCAAUGGCUUUUGUGGCGGCUGGUGUGUUUUGUGCACGUCCGUCAGCUCCCGGCCUCGCCCUGAAGAAGCCCUCAGUCACCACGUCCGGAUGCUCUGAAAGAUG